CGAACGCUGGCGGCGUGCUUAACACAUGCAAGUCGAAACGCGAAAGGGACUUCGGUCCUGAGUAAAGUGGCGCACGGGUGAGUAACGCGUAGAUAACCUGUCUUCAUGUCUGGAAUAAUACGCCGAAAGGGGUACUAAUACCGGAUAUUCUUGCUUUUCAUAAGUUAUGCAAGCAAAGGUGGCCUCUGCAUAUGCUACUGCAUGAAGAGGGGUCUGCGUACCAUUAGCUAGUAGGUGGGGUAAUGGCCUACCUAGGCGACGAUGGUUAGCGGGUCUGAGAGGAUGAUCCGCCACACUGGCACUGGAACACGGGCCAGACUCCUACGGGAGGCAGCAGUGAGGAAUAUUGCGCAAUGGGGGAAACCCUGACGCAGCGACGCCGCGUGAGUGAGGAAAAGGCCUUCGGGUCGUAAAGCUCUGUCAAGAGGAAAGAAGUGUACAAUGGCUAAUACCUGUUGUAUUUGACGGUACCUCUAAAGGAAGCACCGGCUAACUCCGUGCCAGCAGCAGC
Molecule: ribosomal RNA, 511 nt
Filed under: uncultured bacterium
Lineage: Bacteria
Description: bacterial SSU rRNA
Rfam family: Bacterial small subunit ribosomal RNA
Source: RNAcentral